GGGGAGCAACAGCAAAGUCAAUAUUGUCAAUUUUUCAGAAGAGUCUCCAGCUGAAGAUCCAGAUUCAUCAGGUUCCUGAGAGGAAAGAUCAGAUCAGGCUGGUUCUGCUGGGAAAACAGGAUCUGGAAUAAGAGCCACUGGAAACACCUCGGCAGAAACGUGAUGCCGAUCAUGACAAACAAAUGCCUAACUAAACACUUCAAAAUACUGGAAUAAACUAAACUCAUCUGAACUGAAGUAUCUGUUUGAAGAGAAAAACAUAAACUGUUUAUUUUCUGAGUAUUGAGAAUCACAAACUCUUUGAUGACCCAUCAAGACAAAAGCCCAGCUAUAAAGUAAAAACUGUUAAAUAAAUGCUGUUACAUACUAUUAAUCCAACAUCAGAUUUAAGACAGGCAUUUUUUCAUUACCAUGACAGUUUUGUUUAGUUUAAUGUUCUGUGGUUCAAGUAAAAUAUUAUUAAUGUGUUUUUAAAAGUCCAACACCAGCUGGAAAACUGGAAAUGUGUCUUGCUUCUUAACAGUUUCAAAUGAAAUGAAAUAAUAAAAAAAUAAUAAUACCA
Molecule: long non-coding RNA, 562 nt
Organism: Ctenopharyngodon idella (grass carp)
Lineage: Eukaryota; Metazoa; Chordata; Actinopteri; Cypriniformes; Xenocyprididae
Exons: 2
Source: RefSeq, a predicted model, not a curated record